GCGAGCUUGCUCAAUUCUUGAGUAGUUUUAGUGGCGGACGGGUGAGUAACGCGUGGGUAACCUGCCAUGUACUGGGGGACAACAGUUGGAAACGACUGCUAAUACCGCAUAAGCGCACAGGACCGCAUGGUCUAGUGUGAAAAACUCCGGUGGUACAUGAUGGACCCGCGUCUGAUUAGCUAGUUGGUGAGGUAACGGCCCACCAAGGCGACGAUCAGUAGCCGGCCUGAGAGGGUGAACGGCCACAUUGGGACUGAGACACGGCCCAGACUCCUACGGGAGGCAGCAGUGGGGAAUAUUGCACAAUGGGGGAAACCCUGAUGCAGCGACGCCGCGUGAGUGAAGAAGUAUUUCGGUAUGUAAAGCUCUAUCAGCAAGGAAGAAAAUGACGGUACUUGACUAAGAAGCCCCGGCUAACUACGUGCCAGCAGCCGCGGUAAUACGUAGGGGGCAAGCGUUAUCCGGAUUUACUGGGUGUAAAGGGAGCGUAGACGGCAUGGCAAGUCUGAAGUGAAAGCCCGAGGCUCAACCACGGGACUGCUUUGGAAACUGUUAAGCUAGAGUGCAGGAGAGGUAAGUGGAAUUCCUAGUGUAGCGGUGAAAUGCGU
Molecule: ribosomal RNA, 608 nt
Filed under: uncultured bacterium
Lineage: Bacteria
Description: bacterial SSU rRNA
Rfam family: Bacterial small subunit ribosomal RNA
Source: RNAcentral